AAUUAAGACAGCAAAGAGAGGGGUGUGUAUGGAUUUGGAGCAGGGAUUGGAAAUUAGAUAUAUAAGUAGGGUGAAAUUUUAACAGGGGGUCAACAGAAAGACUAGGGAAAAUCUAAAGCUGGAGUAGGGA
Long non-coding RNA from Pipistrellus kuhlii (Kuhl's pipistrelle), 130 nucleotides. RefSeq lists it as uncharacterized. NCBI's taxonomy places the organism in Eukaryota, Metazoa, Chordata, Mammalia, Chiroptera, Vespertilionidae. The record is from RefSeq and is a predicted model, not a curated record. The transcript is spliced from 3 exons.